RNAcentral lists this ribosomal RNA (516 nucleotides) under Faxonius maletae. Its description in RNAcentral is "Orconectes maletae partial 16S ribosomal RNA". It matches the Rfam family "Bacterial large subunit ribosomal RNA", at positions 1809 to 2604 of the family's 2925-position model. Lineage: Eukaryota; Metazoa; Arthropoda; Malacostraca; Decapoda; Cambaridae. The record is from RNAcentral.
AAAAACAUGUCUGUAUGAGAGAUUUAUAAAGUCUGACCUGCCCAUUGGAAAACUAAAAGGCCGCGGUAUUAUGACCGUGCAAAGGUAGCAUAAUCAUUAGUUUUUUAAUUGAAGGCUAGAAUGAAUGGUUGGACAAGAAAUAAUCUGUCUUAAACUAAGAUAUUGAAUUUAACUUUUGAGUGAAAAGGCUUAAAUGAUCUAAAGGGACGAUAAGACCCUAUAAAACUUUAUAUUUUAAAGUAGAAAAUAAUUUUAUUUAAAUGUUAUUAUUUUAAAAUAUUUUGUUGGGGUGACAAGGAUAUAAUAAUGGGUAACUGUCUUUUGUUUUUACAAUAAUAUUUGAUUUGUUGAUCCUAAAAGGGAUUAAAGAUUAAGUUACUUUAGGGAUAACAGCGUAAUUUUUUUUGAGAGUUCUUAUCGACAAAAAAGUUUGCGACCUCGAUGUUGAAUUAAAAAUUCUUUAUAGAGUAGAGACUAUAAAAGAAGGUCUGUUCGACCUUUAAAAUUUUACAUGAU